UACGUAGGGUGCUAGCGUUGUCCGGAAUCAUUGGGCGUAAAGAGCGUGUAGGCGGCCCGGUAAGUCCGCUGUGAAAGUCGGGGGCUCAACCCUCGAAUGCCGGUGGAUACUGUCGGGCUAGAGUGCGGAAGAGGCGAGUGGAAUUCCUGGUGUAGCGGUGAAAUGCGCAGAUAUCAGGAAGAACACCCGUGGCGAAGGCGGCUCUCUGGGACGGUACUGACGCUGAGACGCGAAAGCGUGGGGAGCGAACAGG
This 253-nucleotide ribosomal RNA is filed under the name uncultured bacterium. RNAcentral's name for it is "partial 16S ribosomal RNA". It matches the Rfam family "Bacterial small subunit ribosomal RNA", at positions 524 to 776 of the family's 1533-position model. The record is from RNAcentral.